UACGAAGGGGGGCUAGCGUUGCUCGGAAUCACUGGGCGUAAAGGGUGCGUAGGCGGGUCUUUUAAGUCAGGGGGUGAAAAUCCUGGAGCUCAACUCCAGAACUGCCUUUGAUACUGGGUAUCUUGAGUAUGGAAGAGGUAAGUGGAAUUGCGAGUGUAGAGGUGAAAUUCGUAGAUAUUCGCAGGAACACCAGUGGCGAAGGCGGCUUACUGGUCCAUAACUGACGCUGAGGUGCGAAAAGCGUGGGGGAGCAAACAGGG
Molecule: ribosomal RNA, 260 nt
Filed under: uncultured bacterium
Lineage: Bacteria
Description: partial 16S ribosomal RNA
Rfam family: Bacterial small subunit ribosomal RNA
Source: RNAcentral